This 59-nucleotide transfer RNA is filed under the name Corynebacterium glucuronolyticum. RNAcentral describes it as "tRNA-OTHER". It matches the Rfam family "tRNA". Rfam says of the family: Transfer RNA (tRNA) molecules are approximately 80 nucleotides in length. Their secondary structure includes four short double-helical elements and three loops (D, anti-codon, and T loops). The record is from RNAcentral. Lineage: Bacteria; Bacillati; Actinomycetota; Actinomycetes; Mycobacteriales; Corynebacteriaceae.
GUGGGUGUAGCUCAGUCGGUAGAGCCAUAGGCGCGCAGGUUCGAGUCCUGCCACCCAUA